CGUAACAAGGUCUCCGUUGGUGAACCAGCGGAGGGAUCAUUACCGAGUUAUUCAACUCCCACACCCAUGUGAACCUACCACUUGUUGCCUCGGCAGGGCCCUCCAGCGUCCCCGGACGGUGGCGGCGGCCUGCCGGCGGACCCCCAAACUCUUGUUUUCAGUGGCACUCUGAGUACUAAAAGUUAAUAAUCAAAACUUUCAACAACGGAUCUCUUGGUUCUGGCAUCGAUGAAGAACGCAGCGAAAUGCGAUAAGUAAUGUGAAUUGCAGAAUUCAGUGAAUCAUCGAAUCUUUGAACGCACAUUGCGCCUACUAGUAUUCUGGUAGGCAUGCCUGUUCGAGCGUCAUUUCAACCCUCAAGCCCUGGCUGCUUGGUGUUGGGAGUUUGCCGUCACACGCAACUCCCCAAAGCUAGCUGGCAGAGCUAGGGUAUGCUCUAAGCGUAGUAAACUUCACCGUCUCGCUUCUGUAGCUGCCCUGGCCUCUCGCCAUAAAAGCCCCCCCAAUUUCUCAAUGGUGACCUC
RNAcentral lists this ribosomal RNA (524 nucleotides) under Xylaria sp. XSCH17. RNAcentral's name for it is "eukaryotic LSU rRNA". The stretch from base 194 to 347 matches the Rfam family "5.8S ribosomal RNA". Lineage: Eukaryota; Fungi; Ascomycota; Sordariomycetes; Xylariales; Xylariaceae. The record is from RNAcentral.